Molecule: ribosomal RNA, 523 nt
Filed under: Elateridae sp. UPOL 001237
Lineage: Eukaryota; Metazoa; Arthropoda; Insecta; Coleoptera; Elateridae
Description: partial 16S ribosomal RNA
Rfam family: Archaeal large subunit ribosomal RNA
Source: RNAcentral
CAUGUCUUUUUGAUUAUAAUUUAAGGUUUAAUCUGCUCAAUGAGGAUUUAAAUUGCCGCGGUAUUCUGACCGUGCAAAGGUAGCAUAAUAAUUAGUUUUUUUAUUGAAAGCUGGAAUGAAUGAUUGGACGAGAAAACUACUGUCUCUUUGCGAUUUAGUAUUGAAUUUAACUUUUGGGUAAAAAGGCUCAAAUGUUUUUUAAAGACGAGAAGACCCUAUAGAGUUUUAUGAAUUAUUAUUUUCAUAUUUUUUGGUAUUUUUAAUUUGAAUCUAUAUUUUCAUUUGGUUGGGGUGACCUGAAGAUUUGUUAAAUUCUUCAAUUAUUUUAUCAGUGAUUUUUGAAUAUAGAAUCUGAUCGUUUCAAAUUUAAGAUAAAUUACCUUAGGGAUAACAGCGUAAUUUCUUUUUAGAGUUCUUAUUAAAAGAGAAGUUUGCGACCUCGAUGUUGGAUUAAAAUUUAUUUUCGGUGCAGAAGCUGGGAAAUUAAGUCUGUUCGACUUUUGAAAUUUUACAUGAUCUGAGU